AGCCCUAAACACAUGGCAAGUCGAGCGGUAGCACAGAGAGCUUGCUCUCGGGUGACGAGCGGCGGACGGGUGAGUAAUGUCUGGGAAACUGCCUGAUGGAGGGGGAUAACUACUGGAAACGGUAGCUAAUACCGCAUAACGUCGCAAGACCAAAGUGGGGGACCUUCGGGCCUCAUGCCAUCAGAUGUGCCCAGAUGGGAUUAGCUAGUAGGUGGGGUAACGGCUCACCUAGGCGACGAUCCCUAGCUGGUCUGAGAGGAUGACCAGCCACACUGGAACUGAGACACGGUCCAGACUCCUACGGGAGGCAGCAGUGGGGAAUAUUGCACAAUGGGCGCAAGCCUGAUGCAGCCAUGCCGCGUGUGUGAAGAAGGCCUUCGGGUUGUAAAGCACUUUCAGCGGGGAGGAAGGCGAUAAGGUUAAUAACCUUGUCGAUUGACGUUACCCGCAGAAGAAGCACCGGCUAACUCCGUGCCAGCAGCCGCGGUAAUACGGAGGGUGCAAGCGUUAAUCGGAAUUACUGGGCGUAAAGCGCACGCAGGCGGUCUGUCAAGUCGGAUGUGAAAUCCCCGGGCUCAACCUGGGAACUGCAUUCGAAACUGGCAGGCUAGAGUCUUGUAGAGGGGGGUAGAAUUCCAGGUGUAGCGGUGAAAUGCGUAGAGAUCUGGAGGAAUACCGGUGGCGAAGGCGGCCCCCUGGACAAAGACUGACGCUCAGUGCGAAAGCGUGGGGAGCAAACAGGAUUAGAUACCCUGGUAGUCCACGCCGUAAACGAUGUCGAUUUGGAGGUUGUGCCCUUGAGUCGUGCUUCCGGAGCUAACGCGUUAAAUCGACGUCUGGGGAGUACGCGCAAGGUAAACUCAAUUGAUGGACGUGGCCCGCACAGCGGUGGAGCAUGUGCCUGAAAUCGAAUGCAACCGAUGACUUUACUGGAUCCUGGACUCCCACUGAAACCU
Molecule: ribosomal RNA, 956 nt
Filed under: Klebsiella pneumoniae
Lineage: Bacteria; Pseudomonadati; Pseudomonadota; Gammaproteobacteria; Enterobacterales; Enterobacteriaceae
Description: bacterial SSU rRNA
Rfam family: Bacterial small subunit ribosomal RNA
Source: RNAcentral